AUGGCCUCUGCCCGGCCGCCUGCCUCCGCUCUGCUCCGCAGGCUGCCGACGUCCGCCUCCUGCAGCCAUCCAAGCCAGAGGCCCUGCGGCCUCGUCCCUGCCCCGAGCGCUUGCUCGGGGCCCCUCGCCGCACUCCUCCCCUCGCCGGACUCCGCCAUAGCUGCUCCUCGCCGUUGCCGCCAUGGCCUCCCCUCGCCCUACCCUGCCAUGGCCGACCCUCCCCAACCUCCUCCUCUCCGCUCCUCGCCGGGCUACCCCGCGGCCAACACUCACCGGGACGUGCCGCAGCCAUCCAUCGCCGGAUCCCGACGUGGCUGCAUCUCGCCAGACCCCGCCAACCCUUGUAGGACCCCGCCGCGCCUGAGCCCCAACAUCCUCCUCUCUGCCCUGAGCACCAGAGCUCCCCCAGCAGCGGCAGCGAUUGCCGGAGUUGGCUACUCCGGCGACCACCGAAGCAACAACUGCCCUCCUCUCUGCUUCUGUUCUUCCCGAGCUCACCGAAGCAGAAGUGGCCGCCCUCCGAACGCUUUGACUGACAUUAUUUAA
Molecule: ribosomal RNA, 546 nt
Filed under: Triticum aestivum (bread wheat)
Lineage: Eukaryota; Viridiplantae; Streptophyta; Magnoliopsida; Poales; Poaceae
Description: partial small subunit ribosomal RNA
Source: RNAcentral